RNAcentral lists this ribosomal RNA (392 nucleotides) under Mallomonas akrokomos. RNAcentral's name for it is "partial small subunit ribosomal RNA". It matches the Rfam family "Eukaryotic small subunit ribosomal RNA", at positions 30 to 432 of the family's 1831-position model. The record is from RNAcentral. Lineage: Eukaryota; Synurophyceae; Synurales; Mallomonadaceae.
GCUUGUCUCAAAGAUUAAGCCAUGCAUGUCUAAGUAUAAACGAUUUUAUACGUGAAACUGCGAAUGGCUCAUUAUAUCAGUUAUAGUUUAUUUGAUGGUCCUUACUAUUUGGAUAACCGUAGUAAUUCUAGAGCUAAUACAUGCAUCAAGCCCUGACUUCGGAAGGGGUGUAUUUAUUAGAUGGAAACCAAUGCGGGGCAACCCGGAUUCAGGUGAUUCAUAAUAACUUUCGGAUCGAUCUUCGGAUCGAUGCAUCAUUCAAGUUUCUGCCCUAUCAGCUUUGGAUGGUAGGGUAUUGGCCUACCAUGGCUUUAACGGGUAACGGAGAAUUAGGGUUCGAUUCCGGAGAGGGAGCCUGAGAAACGGCUACCACAUCCAAGGAAGGCAGCAGG